RNAcentral lists this non-coding RNA (22 nucleotides) under Arabidopsis thaliana (thale cress). The record is from RNAcentral. Lineage: Eukaryota; Viridiplantae; Streptophyta; Magnoliopsida; Brassicales; Brassicaceae.
CUGUCGUAGCCGAACAUCACUA